RNAcentral lists this ribosomal RNA (292 nucleotides) under uncultured prokaryote. Its description in RNAcentral is "partial 16S ribosomal RNA". It matches the Rfam family "Bacterial small subunit ribosomal RNA", at positions 505 to 796 of the family's 1533-position model. The record is from RNAcentral.
GUGCCAGCCGCCGCGGUAAUACGGAGGGUGCAAGCGUUAAUCGGAAUUACUGGGCGUAAAGCGUGCGUAGGUGGUCUUUUAAGUCGGAUGUGAAAUCCCUGAGCUUAACUUAGGAGUUGCAUUCGAUACUGGGAGACUAGAGUAUGGGAGAGGAUGGUAGAAUUCCAGGUGUAGCGGUGAAAUGCGUAGAGAUCUGGAGGAAUACCGAUGGCGAAGGCAGCCAUCUGGCCUAAUACUGACACUGAGGCACGAAAGCAUGGGGAGCAAACAGGAUUAGAAACCCCCGUAGUCC